ACCCGCUGAACUUAAGCAUAUCAAUAAGCGGAGGAAAAGAAACCAACAGGGAUUGCCUCAGUAGCGGCGAGUGAAGCGGCAAAAGCUCAGAUUUGAAAUCCGGUGCGCUCAGCGCCCCCGAAGUUGUAAUCUGGAGAGGAUGCUUCGGCGAGAACCCCGGCCAAAGUCCCUUGGAACAGGGCGUCUUAGAGGGUGAGAACCCCGUACCCGGCAGGCGGUUUUAGCCAUGUGUAGCUCCUUCGACGAGUCGAGUUGUUUGGGAAUGCAGCUCAAACUGGGUGGUAAAUUCCAUCUAAAGCUAAAUAUUGGCGGGAGACCGAUAGCGCACAAGUAGAGUGAUCGAAAGAUGAAAAGCACUUUGAAAAGAGAGUUAAAAAGUACGUGAAAUUGUUGAAAGGGAAGCGCUUGCCAUCAGAAUCGGUGCCGGUCGAUCAACGUUCCUUCUGGUUCGUGCACUCGUCCGGUUUCCGUGCCAGCAUCGGUUGGCGCGGCGGGACAAAGGCCGCGGGAAAGUGGCUCCCCUCGGGGAGUGUUAUAGCCCGCGGUGCAAUACCGCCAGCGCCGACCGAGGACCGCGCUUCGUGCAAGGAUGCUGGCCUAAUGGUUGUAAGCGACCCGUCUUGAAACACGG
This 631-nucleotide ribosomal RNA is filed under the name Hyalorbilia brevistipitata. RNAcentral's name for it is "eukaryotic LSU rRNA". It matches the Rfam family "Eukaryotic large subunit ribosomal RNA", at positions 23 to 664 of the family's 3401-position model. The record is from RNAcentral. Lineage: Eukaryota; Fungi; Ascomycota; Orbiliomycetes; Orbiliales; Orbiliaceae.